RNAcentral lists this transfer RNA (36 nucleotides) under Salifa motokawai. Its description in RNAcentral is "partial tRNA-Leu". Lineage: Eukaryota; Metazoa; Annelida; Clitellata; Hirudinida; Salifidae. The record is from RNAcentral.
UUUAAGACCUAAACAUGGGAUCAACACCUUACUUAA